UAUCUUAGCAUCUUCAUCAUGGUAUUGCAAAGUUUACUUAGUGGGGUCGUAAGUCUCGAUGAUGGCCGUUAAUGAAUAGUAUUCUGCGUCUCAAGUCAACGUACGCCCGCCAGCCACGCGAAAACCAACGACUCCGCGACAUUAGGAAAUAAGAAUCGUUAUUUACGUCGACACAUGAUACCAGUGCCUGCGUAUGUUAGACCCUGAGUAUAUGGCGGAAGCGAACUGGCGGGAACAGAAGACCCACGACUAUUCAUAUUAAGCACUCUUUCGGUUCAACUUGUCUACCUGACAAUCUUAAUACAGCCCACGCCGUUGUCCCGCUCACAGAGGAUGUAUACAUGAUAGGAGAAAUUAUGUGCACGAAUGCGCCUCGCCAUUCACACAUGCGACUCAAAGGUCUCGACAGUAACGGUCACGAAUGCGGGGUCGACAGCGUGUCAUCUCCCGCUGCGUAGUUCUUCUACCAACUGUGGGAACUGCCAGCGAAAGUAACGAGUGCUACGGCCUUCCUUAUGGCAAUUCCGGUGCGAAAUACCAUUCGGGGAGCAUCGUAUUCAUUGGCGUUGUCCGGAGGAGGGUUCGCGAAGAGCAUGCGAGCCAAGAAUAAAUAGUGUAGAAUCUUACUUUCGUUCGUCCGCGAUUCAUGUCCGCUGACAUGUUGCAGUUCUUAGUUGCUGUCAUUACUAUCAGGAUUAUCUUUAGGAAUAUUAUACUUUAUUGUGAAAAGUGUAUGUGCAUGUCACCUCGAAAUAAACUGUUUCAUUGAAAA
This is a long non-coding RNA of Penaeus monodon (black tiger shrimp), 772 nucleotides long. RefSeq lists it as uncharacterized. The record is from RefSeq and is a predicted model, not a curated record. Lineage: Eukaryota; Metazoa; Arthropoda; Malacostraca; Decapoda; Penaeidae. The transcript has 2 exons.